CCUACGGGUGGCUGCAGUGGGGAAUAUUGCACAGUGGGCGCAAACCUGAUGCAGCCAUGCCGCGUGUGUGAAGAAGGCCUUCGGGUUGUAAAGCACUUUCAGCGGGGAGGAAGGCGUUAAGGUUAAUAACCUUGGCGAUUGACGUUACCCGCAGAAGAAGCACCGGCUAACUCCGUGCCAGCAGCCGCGGUAAUACGGAGGGUGCAAGCGUUAAUCGGAAUUACUGGGCGUAAAGCGCACGCAGGCGGUCUGUCAAGUCGGAUGUGAAAUCCCCGGGCUCAACCUGGGAACUGCAUUCGAAACUGGCAGGCUAGAGUCUUGUAGAGGGGGGGAGAAUUCCAGGUGUAGCGGUGAAAUGCGUAGAGAUCUGGAGGAAUACCGGUGGCGAAGGCGGCCCCCUGGACAAAGACUGACGCUCAGGUGCGAAAGCGUGGGGAGCAAACAGGAUUAGAUACCCUAGUAGUC
This 465-nucleotide ribosomal RNA is filed under the name uncultured Klebsiella sp. Its description in RNAcentral is "bacterial SSU rRNA". It matches the Rfam family "Bacterial small subunit ribosomal RNA", at positions 338 to 795 of the family's 1533-position model. The record is from RNAcentral. Lineage: Bacteria; Pseudomonadati; Pseudomonadota; Gammaproteobacteria; Enterobacterales; Enterobacteriaceae.